GGCCUAGUUUAUCCUCUGGGUUGGAAGGUCAGAUGGCAUCCGGUUUCCUCACGAUAUUUUCCUUCACCGAAAAGCGACUGGUAAAUAUCAAAUGAUAUUUCGUACAUAAAUUCCGAAAAACUCAUUGGUACGAGCCGGGGUUUGAACCCGCGACCUCCGGAUUGCAAGUCGCACGCUCUUACCGCUAGGCCACCAGCGCUUCAUAA
Molecule: long non-coding RNA, 206 nt
Organism: Cydia amplana
Lineage: Eukaryota; Metazoa; Arthropoda; Insecta; Lepidoptera; Tortricidae
Exons: 2
Source: RefSeq, a predicted model, not a curated record